Molecule: ribosomal RNA, 255 nt
Filed under: uncultured bacterium
Lineage: Bacteria
Description: partial 16S ribosomal RNA
Rfam family: Bacterial small subunit ribosomal RNA
Source: RNAcentral
UACGAAGGGUGCAAGCGUUACUCGGAAUUACUGGGCGUAAAGCGUGCGUAGGUGGUUUGUUAAGUCUGCUGUGAAAGCCCCCGGGCUCAACCUGGGAAUGGCAGUGGAUACUGGCAAGCUAGAGCGCGGUAGAGGGGUGUGGAAUUCCCGGUGUAGCGGUGAAAUGCGUAGAGAUCGGGAGGAACACCAGUGGCGAAGGCGGCACCCUGGACCAGCACUGACACUGAGGCACGGAAAGCGUGGGGAGCGAACAGG